UGUUUUUGUUGUUGUGUCAGUUUUGUCGACUCAAUCAGUCACGCACAACACAGGUUUUCUAAUCUAAAUAGAUAAAGAAUGUUUUGUUACAGUUACACUCACAAUGCUUGAUUCUUUGUCAAGUAGUAGCCAGUCCCGCCAAGAUGUUGUAUUUCCCAGCAAGCAUAAUUCUAAAGAGGACAUCUAUCUGGUCGCACACCAGACACUUCGAACGGAGCAAACCAUUGUCAAUGCAAAUCUUCCUAAUAUGGACUCGUGUUUCUACUAGCAUUUCGCAAGCCAUCAAUCAGUACAUCCAAAAUACAACAGUUCUACGAUGAAUAUUGAAGCAGCAUAUGGGACAGUGCACGGACAACACGGUGUCGUGAUUCGUUGUUACGUAAUUGGCAGCCGUUACGAGUCCUGCCCAUCGAGGUCUGCCUGUUGCAUAAGAAACAACUUUUUGCAUCAACCUGAACCAUUGAACCUGCAAAUAACACACCGCCGUCAACGCAGAACUUAUUCCUAAUGUGAGAGUGGCCUGCAUUCGCUUUUUAUUUUUUUGUGGGAACAGAAAGUGUCAAAAAUUUCAUGCUCGGCUCUGUCCAUUUUGACAAAGUGUUAGGUAAUUUUGGCUGGACAGCGAAUAGAUCGGACGUAAGAGGAAGUAGUUUGAUUCACUUGCUGGGUUUUGAUAAUUUUAUUUGAGGGAGUAAUGUUUCUUUUCGUCGCUUUCGUCGUUUCCAUCUGCUCUCUCUACUUGUCGGGAUUAUAACAAAUCGAAAUCUGGUUUCCAAGGGGUGCAACGGUAGCUGUUAAUUUUGCCCAAUUCCGGUUAGGAAAUAUAUUGUUACACUAUACAUUAAGAGCUGAUCGUAGGAUAAACUUGUUCGUCCCCUAUGCUUAAUAACUAUACAGGUUUUAUUUUGCUAUUGAGUUUUAUUUGCUGG
This is a long non-coding RNA of Daphnia pulicaria, 929 nucleotides long. RefSeq lists it as uncharacterized. Lineage: Eukaryota; Metazoa; Arthropoda; Branchiopoda; Diplostraca; Daphniidae. The record is from RefSeq and is a predicted model, not a curated record. The transcript has 5 exons.